UACAGAGGGGGCAAGCGUUGUUCGGAAUUACUGGGCGUAAAGGGCGCGUAGGCGGCCUUCUAAGUCGAACGUGAAAUCCCCGGGCUCAACCCGGGAACUGCGUCCGAUACUGGUGGGCUUGAAUCCGGGAGAGGGAUGCGGAAUUCCAGGUGUAGCGGUGAAAUGCGUAGAUAUCUGGAGGAACACCGGUGGCGAAGGCGGCAUCCUGGACCGGCAUUGACGCUGAGGCGCGAAAGCCAGGGGAGCAAACGGG
This 253-nucleotide ribosomal RNA is filed under the name uncultured bacterium. RNAcentral describes it as "partial 16S ribosomal RNA". It matches the Rfam family "Bacterial small subunit ribosomal RNA", at positions 524 to 776 of the family's 1533-position model. The record is from RNAcentral.